AUUGAACGCUGGCGGCAGGCCUAACACAUGCAAGUCGAGCGGUAGCACAGGAGAGCUUGCUCUCCGGGUGACGAGCGGCGGACGGGUGAGUAAUGUCUGGGAAACUGCCUGAUGGAGGGGGAUAACUACUGGAAACGGUAGCUAAUACCGCAUAACGUCGCAAGACCAAAGAGGGGGGACCUUCGGGCCUCUUGUCAUCAGAUGUGCCCAGAUGGGAUUAGCUAGUAGGUGGGGUAACGGCUCACCUAGGCGACGAUCCCUAGCUGGUCUGAGAGGAUGACCAGCCACACUGGAACUGAGACACGGUCCAGACUCCUACGGGAGGCAGCAGUGGGGAAUAUUGCACAAUGGGCGCAAGCCUGAUGCAGCCAUGCCGCGUGUAUGAAGAAGGCCUUCGGGUUGUAAAGUACUUUCAGCGGGGAGGAAGGGAGUAAAGUUAAGUAACCUUGCUCAUUGACGUUACCCG
Molecule: ribosomal RNA, 466 nt
Filed under: uncultured bacterium
Lineage: Bacteria
Description: bacterial SSU rRNA
Rfam family: Bacterial small subunit ribosomal RNA
Source: RNAcentral